CCUGCGGCGGCUAGGGUUCUGCUGCGAACCCGAUAAUGGUGGUGAUCAGAGGUUGUCGGGUAUGCGCGAUGCUCUUCUCCUAUUUCUUUGAUUUUUUGGUUUGGUUUGUUGCGAAUGUUGGCUUUUCGCCUCAGUCAAUAGAGCAUCAGGCGGCUUAUGGGCCACAACCUUGGCGGUGCAAGCGUUCAGCAACUGCACCAACUAGAGAAACAACUAACUGAUGGCUUAGUUUUAAUCAAAGAAAAUAAGGUUUUGAUCUAUCUUUAAAUUAAUGGGAAUUUAAUAAAUUUUUAGUUUGUGAAUCUUGUGUUCAUGAUGCUAUGCUGUUUGAGGAGAUUGAACAUUCAAAUCGCAAAGGAACGAGAACUUGCUUAUGAAACGAUGUUCUUCAAGGAGAGAUGGAAAACUUAAAGUGCUUCAUACAGUUGACUCGACAACCUGGUCAACUUGGUUUCCUAGAAUACACUCAUGUUGUUGUUCCAAUAGCAGUGCUGCCCACUCGAAGCAUGAC
Long non-coding RNA from Helianthus annuus (common sunflower), 511 nucleotides. RefSeq lists it as uncharacterized. NCBI's taxonomy places the organism in Eukaryota, Viridiplantae, Streptophyta, Magnoliopsida, Asterales, Asteraceae. The transcript is spliced from 3 exons. The record is from RefSeq and is a predicted model, not a curated record.